RNAcentral lists this ribosomal RNA (429 nucleotides) under uncultured bacterium. Its description in RNAcentral is "bacterial SSU rRNA". It matches the Rfam family "Bacterial small subunit ribosomal RNA", at positions 355 to 776 of the family's 1533-position model. The record is from RNAcentral.
UGGGGAAUUUUGGACAAUGGGGGAAACCCUGAUCCAGCCAUUCCGCGUGUGCGAUGAAGGCCUUCGGGUUGUAAAGCACUUUUGGCAGGAAAGAAAUCGCGCAAAUUAAUACUUUGCGUGGAUGACGGUACCUGCAGAAUAAGCACCGGCUAACUACGUGCCAGCAGCCGCGGUAAUACGUAGGGUGCAAGCGUUAAUCGGAAUUACUGGGCGUAAAGCGUGCGCAGGCGGUUCGGAAAGAAAGGUGUGAAAUCCCAGGGCUUAACCUUGGAACUGCACUUUUAACUCCCGAGCUAGAGUAUGUCAGAGGGGGGUGGAAUUCCGCGUGUAGCAGUGAAAUGCGUAGAUAUGCGGAGGAACACCGAUGGCGAAGGCAGCCCCCUGGGAUGAUACUGACGCUCAUGCACGAAAGCGUGGGGAGCAAACAGG